ACGGUCCUCGUUUUCUCUGCCUGAUUCAUUAUCGCUUCAAGCUUGAAAUAGAGGACAAUAAGAACGUUUGCCUCUUACCCCCGGUGUGAUAAUAUGUCAGAAUCGGUCAUUGUGUGCAAGUACAAAU
RNAcentral lists this unclassified non-coding RNA (127 nucleotides) under Caenorhabditis briggsae. Its description in RNAcentral is "comCb5 H/ACA snoRNA". The record is from RNAcentral. Lineage: Eukaryota; Metazoa; Nematoda; Chromadorea; Rhabditida; Rhabditidae.